This 84-nucleotide transfer RNA is filed under the name Deferribacteraceae bacterium. RNAcentral describes it as "tRNA-Leu". It matches the Rfam family "tRNA". From Rfam's summary of the family: Transfer RNA (tRNA) molecules are approximately 80 nucleotides in length. Their secondary structure includes four short double-helical elements and three loops (D, anti-codon, and T loops). Lineage: Bacteria; Pseudomonadati; Deferribacterota; Deferribacteres; Deferribacterales; Deferribacteraceae. The record is from RNAcentral.
GCCGAAGUGUUGGAAUUGGUAGACAAGCAUGAUUCAGGUUCAUGUGCCAGCAAUGGUGUGGGGGUUCAAGUCCCCCCUUCGGCA